Long non-coding RNA from Hydra vulgaris (swiftwater hydra), 681 nucleotides. RefSeq lists it as uncharacterized. The record is from RefSeq and is a predicted model, not a curated record. NCBI's taxonomy places the organism in Eukaryota, Metazoa, Cnidaria, Hydrozoa, Anthoathecata, Hydridae.
UAAGCUAACAGUUGUAGUUAAUUCAGAUUUAAAUAACUAAUGAGUUCACGAAUUUUGGUCACUAUUUGGUAUUCGACCAUUUGGCUACUUUUUUUACUAUUCAACCGAACAUUGCGAACUUUACUAUUCAGCCGAACAUUUUUUCUUACGAAGUCGAGAUAAAUUAUCACCGGUGCUACUAGAUACCGGUGACUAUUCAUCUAUGUCAAAUAGCCAUUCACUGACUUAAUCUUUCUCUAACGUGCAUAUUUUUUGAUUCAUGCUUCAGUUGGUUUAUUAUUUGUCCUAAAAGAAACUUAGUAUUGAAUAGGGUUGUAAAAAUUCGAUCAAACGAUAUUUAGUAAUAUAGCUGGAGGUAAAGGUCACUGGACUGUUGCUCAUAAAAUGUAAGCUGUCAAUCUAAAUAAUCAAGGUAAAACUUUUUGCCAGGAGCAGGAAGAGACUGGAAUUCCUCAUAAUACAGUAUCCGACAUAAUGAAGAAGUAUAUAAUUUGAUCGGAACAACAGCCACAAUUGACGAACAGGGUCACAAAAAGAAGAAUUCUUUAUGGGACCAGCUUUAUUUAAUUUUUUUUCAUCUAAUAAUAAUUUCAAACCUACUUUUACUGUAAUUGUAGGAUCCUAGUUUAUAUAUACUUUGUUUUUAUAUUUUUCUUCGUUUAAGUUAUCAUUUUCUUGCAA